GCCGUGGCAUCACUUAGUGGGCAGAGCAUCAUGUAGAAUGAAAGGAGUUCUUCCCUAUGAAACAGGAAGAUUAAAGAGCUGGGGAUCUGCACUGACAGGCUGCUACUGAGGAGAGAAAAGGAGAACCUGUGCUCUCUGUGCAGGCAACUCCAGCACACAACAUGCAUCCAGAUGAGACUGAGUGAAAAGGAGACAAGAAAAUGAGCUCAGUGCAGCAAAGGCUGGUUAGAAAGCUAGUUAGAAGGGUCCUUAAGACAAAGUGUUCCUGUUGACUUAAAUGGGGUUUGGAUAGCCUGACAGUGUUGGCUUAUGUUUGAGCUUCCAGACAUCGGGUUUGGUUGUUGUAAAUAAGAUUCUCUCUCUGCUUUAGGGUGGAAAACAGGAGCCAUGCUGCCAACAGUGAGGAGUGGAGCCAACACUGCUCCAGAGGUCCACUUUGCAAUCUGUACAGUGCGUGAACACAAGGCUGCAAGUUGGGAGAUGUGGCACCACUUGAGCUCUCCACUCCUCACCAACACUGGAGCUGCAGAAAGCCUUUGCCCUGAGUGCAACCACCUAAUGAUGUUAAGCUAUGGUAUGUCUUGCGAAUGCUCUCCUCGUUUCAAUCCAGAAAACAAUGAGGUGUUUUGUUGUUGUUUUUCAUUUUUUUUUUAAUCCUUAAUUAAUCCAAAUCUAUACAUGUCUUAAUGGAAAUAAAGACUAAAAAUAAUGACCUAAACGCUCUCA
This 726-nucleotide long non-coding RNA is filed under the name Coturnix japonica (Japanese quail). Its description in RNAcentral is "lncRNA (ENSCJPG00005020855.1)". The record is from RNAcentral. Lineage: Eukaryota; Metazoa; Chordata; Aves; Galliformes; Phasianidae.